Molecule: ribosomal RNA, 168 nt
Filed under: uncultured fungus
Lineage: Eukaryota; Fungi
Description: partial 18S ribosomal RNA
Rfam family: Eukaryotic small subunit ribosomal RNA
Source: RNAcentral
AGAUUUUGACACAGAGAGAGCCAGAGAGAUUAUUUCCUUGGCCGGAAGGUCUGGGUAAUCUUGUGAAACUCUGUCGUGCUGGGGAUAGAGCAUUGCAAUUAUUGCUCUUCAACGAGGAAUUCCUAGUAAGCGCGAGUCAUCAGCUCGCGUUGAUUACGUCCCCUGCCC